Molecule: long non-coding RNA, 2174 nt
Filed under: Pandoravirus neocaledonia
Description: hypothetical ncRNA
Source: RNAcentral
AGAGCAUACGCGGACGUGGGCAGUCUUUGGCCUCGUAGCACGUCACGCCGCCGCGUGGACACUGCCGGCGCACCAGCACGCCGACAAGCUUGGUGUCGCCCGAGCGUAUGGCCUUGGCCAGCAGGUCCUGGUCGAGAGGCGCUCCGGCCUCGCACAGCGCAUCGAGGCACGGCGCUUCGUUGCACUUGAUCGCCUUCACGCAGGCCGCAUAGGCGUCGUGCGGACACCCGCUGGCGAGCGCAUAGGUCAAACAGUCGACACGGCCGGCGCGUAUCGCGGCCACCACCAUGGCAUGCGCCCACGGGCAACCAUUCUCGUGCAAGUAGGUUAGACAGUCGAGAUGACCUCCCAACGCGGCUCCGACGCACGCGCCUUCGUCCCACGGGCAUUUGAGCGUUCUUCGCAAAUAAGAGAGGCACUCGAGAUGGCCGCCUCUGGCGGCGCUCGCGCACGCCCUCUUGUCAACGGGGAAUCCAGCCGCGUGCAGAAAGUCGACGCAGGCGAUAUGGCCACCGGCGGCAGCCGCGGCAACCGAGUCGUCGUCGGCCGAGGUCGGGCCGGCUGCAGCGACGACGCGCAAACACCCCAAGCGGCCUAGUCUGGCUGCCAUGUGCCUUUCGUCUACGACACUGCCCAAAUGGGCAAUGAUCCACGAGAGGACAUGCGCAUGGCCAUACUUGAUGGCCGCAAGGCACAUUGCGUGACGUGUGUCCCGGCUCGGCGCCGCAUUGUGAGCGCUCAUGGUUUGCAAGCACGCGAUGUUGCCCGUUGUGACCGCGGCCACCCAUGUGUGACCGUCACUAAGGCAUUUUGCUGUUCCCAAGAGGUAGUCGAGGCAUUCGGCGUGGCCGCGCCUGGCCGCCAAGUCUACAGUGUAGAUGUUGCACAGGCACCCGUUGGCAUGGGCAAAUGCCAGGCAGGCCAAAUGGCCGCGUUUGGCAGCCGCGUUGGUAACGUGCUUUGUCAGCACACACCCACUCUGGAAUGCAUAGGCGAGACAGUCGAGUUGGCCGCCUUUGGUCGCGACCAGGGCGACGCAGGGAUCGCGCGCACUUUCAUAGGAAAACGCACAUUCGAGACAGUCGAGGUGUCCGGAAGCGGCGGCGGCCACCUGCACCCUAGACGACGACCUGUCCCUGCCAUCGCGUCGACUGUCGCCCACCGCAUAAAUGCGGUGCAUCGCCUGGACAUGUCCGUUGCGAGCGGCCCCUACAAGGGCCUCAAUCGAGACUGCACACCCAUUGGCAAGGGCGUAAUCGAGACAGUCGAGGUGACCGCCGGCAGCGGCGGAUGCGACAACUUGGGCCGACCUCCACGCGCACGACACACGAUUCAUCCAGCGCAAAACAUCGAGGCGGCCAUUGGCAGCGGCCUCGUUGGCCGCGUCGCGCGCCCCUAUCCCGGCACCGAUGCCGAGGUAUUCGAGGCAGCGAAUGUGUCCGGCAGCGGCGGCGGCGGCGUCGAGACGCGACCGAUCCGUGGCCGGCCCAGAGCAUGCCCAACGGCCCGUGGCACGCUCGGAAUUGAUCAACGCGCGCCAACGGCGAUCCACCAACGACAGCGUGGCCGUGCCCUCGAUGCAGCUGAUAAACUCUAGGACGUGCAUGAGGAUCUCGUUGGGCAAGUCGCUGAGCGAAGGCGACGCCCUGACAGAGACCGCCUUUCCGCCUCUUCUUCGCGGCAUCGCGCACUACAAGGGGGUGUCGUGCACUUUUUUUUUCUUUCCUGAAUCGUGUGUUUUGCGUGCGGGGGCGAUGGCGCUCCUCGGUAUGAUGUGUUUGUUGUUGCCUUUUCUCUCCUGUCUGUCCGCCGUUGGGUCGUGCGUCUCAGAGCCGGGCGUCUGUUCUGGUCAGCUGGCCCAGAGGCGAUAAAAUGGCGACCGCCCCUCUCCCGUUAAAAAAAGAUGAUUGGACAUUGGGAAAGGCCCGUUUCCGCCGCCCAUCUACGGAGAGCCGAUUGCGUGCAGUGCGGUCUGUCUCGUGGGUUUGUUUCUUUUUUCCUGGCAUCUUUUGUCCCUGGGUUUUUGUUUUUGGUGAUUCUUCUUUUGGUCACGGGUGCGGUGCCCUUCCCUGCACAGAUUGCCUCUUUGCACCGUGCGCAACGGCGUCUGCUCUAAAUGCCUUUUUUUCCUUGUGCUUUGCCGUCGCCGUUUUGGUUUUUUUGGGCCACGUGCG